AGCGAACGCUGGCGGCAGGCCUAACACAUGCCAGUCGAACGAACUCUUCGGAGUUAGUGGCGGACGGGUGAGUAACACGUGGGAACGUGCCUUUUGGUUCGGAAUAACUCAGGGAAACUUGUGCUAAUACCGAAUGUGCCCUUCGGGGGAAAGAUUUAUCGCCAUUAGAGCGGCCCGCGUCUGAUUAGCUAGUUGGUGAGGUAACGGCUCACCAAGGCGACGAUCAGUAGCUGGUCUGAGAGGAUGACCAGCCACACUGGGACUGAGACACGGCCCAGACUCCUACGGGAGGCAGCAGUGGGGAAUCUUGCGCAAUGGGCGAAAGCCUGACGCAGCCAUGCCGCGUGAAUGAUGAAGGUCUUAGGAUUGUAAAUUCUUUCACCGGGGACGAUAAUGACGGUACCCGGAGAAGAAGCCCCGGCUAACUUCGUG
This 432-nucleotide ribosomal RNA is filed under the name uncultured bacterium. RNAcentral describes it as "partial 16S ribosomal RNA". It matches the Rfam family "Bacterial small subunit ribosomal RNA", at positions 29 to 507 of the family's 1533-position model. The record is from RNAcentral.